RNAcentral lists this ribosomal RNA (515 nucleotides) under uncultured bacterium. Its description in RNAcentral is "partial 16S ribosomal RNA". It matches the Rfam family "Bacterial small subunit ribosomal RNA", at positions 28 to 523 of the family's 1533-position model. The record is from RNAcentral.
GAUGAACGCUGGCGGCGUGCCUAAUACAUGCAAGUCGAGCGAAUGGAUUAAGAGCUUGCUCUUAUGAAGUUAGCGGCGGACGGGUGAGUAACACGUGGGUAACCUGCCCAUAAGACUGGGAUAACUCCGGGAAAUCGGGGCUAAUACCGGCUAAUAUUUUGAACUGCAUGGUUCAAAAUUGAAAGGCGGCUUCGGCUGUCACUUAUGGAUGGACCCGCGUCGCAUUAGCCAGUUGGUGAGGUAACGGCUCACCAAGGCAACGAUGCGUAGCCGACCUGAGAGGGUGAUCGGCCACACUGGGACUGAGACACGGCCCAGACUCCUACGGGAGGCAGCAGUAGGGAAUCUUCCGCAAUGGACGAAAGUCUGACGGAGCAACGCCGCGUGAGUGAUGAAGGCUUUCGGGUCGUAAAACUCUGUUGUUAGGGAAGAACAAGUGCUAGUUGAAUAAGCUGGCACCUUGACGGUACCUAACCAGAAAGCCACGGCUAACUACGUGCCAGCCGCCGCAGUAA